This 4879-nucleotide small RNA is filed under the name Pan troglodytes (chimpanzee). RNAcentral describes it as "retained intron". The record is from RNAcentral. Lineage: Eukaryota; Metazoa; Chordata; Mammalia; Primates; Hominidae.
CUGGCUCUUUUUAUGAAUUUGGAAGUUUUUAGACUAGGUGGUUGUAGUGUUGCCUCCCGGGUGUUAGGAUCCCUGGGCGUCACCUCUCAGCUCCUGCUUUCCAUUUCCUCAUCAUAAACCCUGUUUUUGUUCUCACUGUGACCCUGUUCUGCUUUGACCCUACAGCUCCCUACCACCUUUGUGGUUUUUUUCUUUUCAGAAAGCUUAGGGUGGUAAAUGCUUUUGGCCAUUAUUGUUCAUACUCAUUUAUUCAGAUACCAUUUAUUAAUAGUAAGCCCCUGCUUUGUGUAAGCACUUUGUUAGACACUAGGGUGCUCCUUUGACCCCCCAUCCCACUCCAUUGUGAGCUGGCUCUUGUCCUCAGGGUCCUGCUCAACAUCAUGUACCUGAUAGUGGAGACCGUUCAUCAGGAGUGUGAGGGUGACAAGGCUGAGUGGAGGACCAUGCGGCAGACCUUCAGAGCCGAGCUGGGUAGGACCCUGGGGAUCCUCUCUAGAGGCCCUGCCUGGAAGCUGAGGCGGAAGGCUUUGAGAGGGUCCUGAUACCUUUGUGUCACCUCCAGGCUCCCCGCUGUACAACAAUGAGCCAUUUGCCAUCAUGCUGUUUGGGAUGGUGACCAAAUUUUGCAGUGGUCACGCCCCUCACUUUCCCAUGAAGAAAGUUCUCUUGCUGCUCUGGAAGACAGUAUUGUGCACGCUAGGCGGCUUUGAGGAGCUGCAGAGCAUGAAGGCUGAGAAGCGCAGCAUCCUGGGCCUCCCCCCGCUUCCUGAGGACAGCAUCAAAGUGAUUCGCAACAUGAGAGCAGCCUCUCCACCAGCAUCUGCUUCAGACUUGAUUGAGCAGCAGCAGAAACGGGGCCGCCGAGAGCACAAGGCUCUGAUAAAGCAGGACAACCUAGAUGCCUUCAAUGAGCGGGAUCCCUACAAGGCUGAUGACUCUCGAGAAGAGGAAGAGGAGAAUGAUGAUGACAACAGUCUGGAGGGGGAGACGUUUCCCCUGGAACGGGAUGAAGUGAUGCCUCCCCCGCUACAGCACCCACAGACUGACAGGCUGACUUGCCCCAAAGGGCUCCCGUGGGCUCCCAAGGUCAGAGAGAAAGACAUUGAGAUGUUCCUUGAGUCCAGCCGCAGCAAAUUUAUAGGUUACACUCUAGGCAGUGACACGAACACAGUGGUGGGGCUGCCCAGGCCAAUCCACGAAAGCAUCAAGACUCUGAAACAGCACAAGUACACGUCGAUUGCAGAGGUCCAGGCACAGAUGGAGGAGGAAUAUCUCCGCUCCCCUCUCUCAGGGGGAGAAGAAGAAGUUGAGCAAGUCCCUGCAGAAACACUCUACCAAGGCUUGCUCCCCAGCCUGCCUCAGUAUAUGAUUGCCCUCCUGAAGAUCCUGUUGGCUGCAGCACCCACCUCAAAAGCCAAAACAGACUCAAUCAACAUCCUAGCGGACGUCUUGCCUGAGGAGAUGCCCACCACAGUGUUGCAGAGCAUGAAGCUGGGGGUGGACGUAAACCGCCACAAAGAGGUCAUUGUUAAGGCCAUUUCUGCUGUCCUGCUGCUGCUGCUCAAGCACUUUAAGUUGAACCAUGUCUACCAGGUACCCACAGGGCUUUCCCUCCUGUCCUGUGGGCUGGGGCCUCGGGCACUGCUGCUCCUCCAGCCCACAAGAACGGGGGCCUUGGCCUUUGACCCACUUGAACUCUGCAUGAAUGUUCUAAGACAUGGCCCUUCAGCCAAGGCCUUUCAUCCCUGGAGGAAAGAGGGCAAGGUCCCAAGGGCCGCGCCUUUUUUUUUUUUUUUUUUUUUUCCUGUUGGCUUCAGUUUGAAUACAUGGCCCAGCACCUGGUGUUUGCCAACUGCAUUCCUUUGAUCCUAAAGUUCUUCAAUCAAAACAUCAUGUCCUACAUCACUGCCAAGAACAGGUGAUGAGGGCCAGGGACCACGAAGGGGUGGAUAUGGUCAGACGGCAGAGUUCCCAGCUGGUAUUUCCCACUGUGUCUAUUUUUCCAGCACCUACGAGCCAGCACUGUGCUAGGCAUCAAGACAUAAAGAUAAAUGAGACAUGGCCUCUGCCUGUGGAGAGCCCACUGUGUCAAAUCUGAGUCUAGCUAGUCCUGCCCCAGGUGACUUGGUCUGUGCCUGGGCAGGAGGGUUUUCAUCCCAGGAUCUAGUACUUUCCUCCCUGUCCCUUCUGUACUUUUUUUUUUUUUUUUUUUUUUUUGAGGAGUCCAUGGGCUGCUUGCUCUCUCUAAGGGGCUCGGCCAUGUGCCUUGUAAUGCCCUAUCUGCUGACUCUUAGCCCCUGCUGUUGGCCUGGUGCCAGCUGUGCUUGACAUUACUUGCUCGUCAGUGUGAUAUACCACAGGGCGCCGGCCAGACCCUGUCUCCAGAAAGGUUUGGCAUAAAUUAGUUGCCCUGAGCGAUCUCCUCCCCCGCCCCACAUUCAUUGCUGUGGGGGAAGCUGUGAGGGUCUCUGCCCCUUACAAGAUCAACAAACUGGCCUCUGGCUACAGGGGUGCCUUACAAGUUCUCUUGUAACAGAUAUUUCCUCAUCUUAUAGGUGGGGAAACUGGGGUGGGACACACCAGAUAGAUUCCUACUUCUGCUCCAACAAGUGAGGGAGGAAAGCUGGGAGCUGGCUCAGGCACGGCUGCUCCACCAGGCCCUGGGCCUUUGCUCAUGGUGGGCACCUGGGUCCUCUCCCCUCUGCAGCAUUUCUGUCCUGGAUUACCCUCACUGCGUGGUGCAUGAGCUGCCAGAGCUGACUGCGGAGAGUUUGGAAGCAGGUGACAGUAACCAAUUUUGCUGGAGGAACCUCUUUUCUUGUAUCAAUCUGCUUCGGAUCUUGAACAAGCUGACAAAGUGGAAGCAUUCAAGGACAAUGAUGCUGGUGGUGUUCAAGUCAGCCCCCAUCUUGAAGCGGGCCCUAAAGGUGAAACAAGCCAUGAUGCAGCUCUAUGUGCUGAAGCUGCUCAAGGUACAGACCAAAUACUUGGGGCGGCAGUGGCGAAAGAGCAACAUGAAGACCAUGUCUGCCAUCUACCAGAAGGUGCGGCAUCGGCUGAACGACGACUGGGCAUACGGCAAUGAUCUUGAUGCCCGGCCUUGGGACUUCCAGGCAGAGGAGUGUGCCCUUCGUGCCAACAUUGAACGCUUCAACGCCCGGCGCUAUGACCGGGCCCACAGCAAUCCUGACUUCCUGCCAGUGGACAACUGCCUGCAGAGUGUCCUGGGCCAACGGGUGGACCUCCCUGAAGACUUUCAGAUGAACUAUGACCUCUGGUUAGAAAGGGAGGUCUUCUCCAAGCCCAUUUCCUGGGAAGAGCUGCUGCAGUGAGGCUGUUGGUUAGGGGACUGAAAUGGAGAGAAAAGAUGAUCUCAAGGUACCUGCGGGACUGUCCUAGUUCAUUGCUGCAGUGCUCCCAUCCCCCACCAGGUGGCAGCACAGCCCCACUGUGUCUUCCGCAGUCUGUCCUGGGCUUGGGUGAGCCCAGCUUGACCUCCCCUUGGUUCCCAGGGUCCUGCUCCGAAGCAGUCAUCUCUGCCUGAGAUCCAUUCUUCCUUUACUUCCCCCACCCUCCUCUCUUGGAUAUGGUUGGUUUUGGCUCAUUUCACAAUCAGCCCAAGGCUGGGAAAGCUGGAAUGGGAUGGGAACCCCUCCGCCGUGCAUCUGAAUUUCAGGGGUCAUGCUGAUGCCUCUCGAGACACACAAAUCCUUGCUUUGUCAGCUUGCAAAGGAGGAGAGUUUAGGAUUAGGGCCAGGGCCAGAAAGUCGGUAUCUUGGUUGUGCUCUGGGGUGGGGGUGGGGUGUUUCUGAUGUUAUUCCAGCCUCCUGCUACGUUAUAUCCAGAAGUAAUUGCGGAGGCUCCUUCAGCUGCCUCAGCACUUUGAUUUUGGACAGGGACAAGGUAGGAAGAGAAGCUUCCCUUAACCAGAGGGGCCAUUUUUCCUUUUGGCUUUCGAGGGCCUGUAAAUAUCUAUAUAUAAUUCUGUGUGUAUUCUGUGUCAUGUUGGGGUUUUUAAUGUGUUUGUGUAUUCUGUUUACAUUAAAAAGAAGCAAAAAUAAUUCCCGUUGGCUUGUCUACAGGAAAUAUGGCCUCUACGUAUCUCCUCCAGGUCUAGAAAGUGGUUUUUUCCGCUAGCAUUGCUGGUCAACGCUUGUCCUUGUCAAGCUGCCUGCCUUUCCCAUCCUGGGGGAAGAGGAGAGGGAGUUGGCAUUUAUCCAGUUUAUCAAGAAGUUUACUGUGGAGGAUGCAAAUAUUACCCAGGAAAAUGUCACCAGCAAUUUAAACAAGGCAGCCUGGAUCAAAGGCUGAGUCUUCUGCCUCCCAUGACAACCUUGCUGAGCCUCAGUUUCCUCAUCAGAAAGGAGAGCCUACCAUGUGAUCCCCAUUUGCUGGUACCAGGAUACAGUGGCACACACGACAUGUGAUCCCUGCCUUCACAGUGCUUACACUUUGCUGGAAUGGAAGUGUCUCAUCCACGUUGAAGAAAAUCAUCCUCAUUUGGCUGUGAAUUAGAAUAGAAUCUGGUCUUGUGAGAAGAGUUCCUGGCUCUGGGCCUCAACUGUAAGGUCAGUUCUUCAUUUAGGGAAACAUCAGCCCCAGCACCACUUUCCGUUUCAUUCUCUGCUUCCCUCAGCCUGCACCACAGGAAGGACAUGUGCUUCUUUUUCCCCCAGUGGAUUUCCAGAAGGGAUAGGGACGAUGAGAAAGAGGUAACCUCAGAUCUGAGAUUUGCUUGACAUACACAAAAUUUCCUUCCAACAGGGAAAACUCAGUUGCUUUUUUUCCUUCAAACGAAAGACAGUUGGUAUUACCUUUGUCCUGUUUAGAUACUGAAAUCCUAAAUUGAUUCAUAUAAAAAUUCUGGGUUUGGGAACCC